RNAcentral lists this long non-coding RNA (527 nucleotides) under Monodelphis domestica (gray short-tailed opossum). Its description in RNAcentral is "lncRNA (ENSMODG00000038350.1)". Lineage: Eukaryota; Metazoa; Chordata; Mammalia; Didelphimorphia; Didelphidae. The record is from RNAcentral.
GCUGCCUCAAGAGGUGGGGCCUCCCCUCUCCUAAGAGGUCUCCGAGCAGAGCCGAGAUAAGCACUUGCCAGUGUUGCCUGCACUGUCUUCAGCACCUCUGGCACAUCCCUCUGAAUGCCUUCCAUGGUGGCAGAUGAUCAUCCUUCGAGGGUGUAUUUGAUUUUACAAGCAGCCAAAAGUCAUUUGGAACCAAGCCUGAUGAAUUAAUUAACCAUGCAAUGCCAUUUUUAGUCAGAAACAAGAUGAAGAAACUGAGGCCAGAGAGAUUAAGUGACUUAUCCACAGUCACUUCAGCUUUCUCCUGUGGGAUCAAAUCAAAAUAGUCCUGUUCGCAUCAAAACCUCAUUCUCUGGAUCAUUUUAAGACCAGGAUAACGAAUACAAUCUCUUCAGUUACCAAGUAGCAACUGAGGAAAGUUUCUUACCAAAUUAAAAAAUCAACUGAAGCAAUGUAUAGCACAAGAUGGUGGUUAUGUUGAAUUUUAAUAAGAACUUUAUCAAUAUUUCAAGGUUUUAAAUAAUUAACCU